RNAcentral lists this ribozyme (66 nucleotides) under unclassified sequences. RNAcentral's name for it is "pistol ribozyme". It matches the Rfam family "Pistol ribozyme". The record is from RNAcentral.
GCUCGUUACAGCGAGUAUAAACCGCAUUAAGCUGUAAGCGUUCAGGGUUCACGCCCUGAGGUUGUA